Molecule: ribosomal RNA, 277 nt
Filed under: uncultured prokaryote
Description: partial 16S ribosomal RNA
Rfam family: Bacterial small subunit ribosomal RNA
Source: RNAcentral
UACGUAGGUGGCGAGCGUUGUCCGGAAUUACUGGGUGUAAAGGGCGUGUAGGCGGGGAAGCAAGUCAGAUGUGAAAUCCCGGGGCUCAACUCCGGAGUUGCAUCUGAAACUGUUUUUCUUGAGUGCUGGAGAGGAAAGCGGAAUUCCUAGUGUAGCGGUGAAAUGCGUAGAUAUUAGGAGGAACACCAGUGGCGAAGGCGGCUUUCUGGACAGUAACUGACGCUGAGGCGCGAAAGCGUGGGGAGCAAACAGGAUUAGAUACCCGGGUAGUCCCUGA